AGCGAACGCUGGCGGCAGGCCUAACACAUGCAAGUCGAACGAACCUUUCGGGGUUAGUGGCGGACGGGUGAGUAACACGUGGGAACGUGCCUUUAGGUUCGGAAUAACUCAGGGAAACUUGUGCUAAUACCGAAUGUGCCCUUCGGGGGAAAGAUUUAUCGCCUUUAGAGCGGCCCGCGUCUGAUUAGCUAGUUGGUUGAGGUAAUGGCUCACCAAGGCGACGAUCAGUAGCUGGUCUGAGAGGAUGAUCUGCCACAUUGGGACUGAGACACGGCCCAAACUCCUACGGGAGGCAGCAGUGGGGAAUCUUGCGCAAUGGGCGAAAGCCUGACGCAGCCAUGCCGCGUGAAUGAUGAAGGUCUUAGGAUUGUAAAAUUCUUUCACCGGGGACGAUAAUGACGGUACCCGGAGAAGAAGCCCCGGCUAACUUCGUG
This 434-nucleotide ribosomal RNA is filed under the name uncultured bacterium. Its description in RNAcentral is "partial 16S ribosomal RNA". It matches the Rfam family "Bacterial small subunit ribosomal RNA", at positions 29 to 507 of the family's 1533-position model. The record is from RNAcentral.